AGUGACUCUAAAUUUCCCCUGAAGAGCAAAAUGCUGUCUGUGUCUCACUCAAUGUGGUGGCUGCUACAGGAGGAUCUUCCCAGGCCUUCUCAGGGAAUUCCCAUCAGGAUCACAGGAAUGGUACCUGGCAGACACAACCCAGUCUGCACCUUCCAUGGGCCACAGCUGAUGGUACGAGGAGAGGUGUGACAUCUGCCUGACCUCAGCUCUGGGGGUUCCUGUGGGUGGACAGAAGGAGCCCUGGAGGCCCGGCCAGGAUGCGUCAUCUGUGGCUACCACGUGGAUUCUCUGGUGUGCUGAGUCAAGGCAGCGAUCUUCCAAGUGUGGUCGCUGUACCUCCAUCAGCACCUCCUGGGACUUGUCAGGACGCUGACCCGGGCCCCAGCCAAGUUCUGCUGCUGCCUCAGGGGGACAGAGGCAGGGCCUCACUGUCUGAUGAUCCAGCCCUGCAGGGGGCCCGCUGCACCUGCAGGUGUGAGAGCCGCCGCUGAAUUAAGGUGACUGGAAGGUUUCAGGGCAUGGGAGGGAGGUAGAUCAUUUGGGGCUGAGAAGCACUUUUGCAUCUCUUUCCUGCCCAGAAGCGACCAGAGAGGCCAGGCAUUGUCACCUGGAGACUUUGGAAAUGAAGCCCUGAGCUGAUCUAAUAAUUUCUGGCAAAUUCUAUGGGGUUGCUUCAUGAAUUAGGAAAAGCCAUAGAAACUCAAGUGUAAAUCGUGUGUUAUAUCCCAGGGCCGCGCGCUUAAUGUGGACUGUGGAGCUUGUACGCAGCCUGUCACACCCUGCCAGCCUCAAUACGGCUCUCCUUACCCCGGGCCUCUGCACGCACAUAUGAAAGGCAACCUCACCUCUGUGGCUUGCAUGGUUCAGCGAUUCAUACUGUGUUAGUAUUCCUAAUCUAUUUCUAAGUAACUUAAUUUUUCUCGAAAAUAGUAAUUUAAAAUGUUGUCCAUAUAGAUGAAUAACAAUCAGAAAACUUUCCUUAGGGAUGCUAAAACAUCAUUAAUUAGCAAUAAAACAAAUUUAAGUUUUA
RNAcentral lists this long non-coding RNA (1030 nucleotides) under Homo sapiens (human). RNAcentral's name for it is "long independently transcribed non-coding RNA 2519 (LINC02519)". Lineage: Eukaryota; Metazoa; Chordata; Mammalia; Primates; Hominidae. The record is from RNAcentral.